RNAcentral lists this ribosomal RNA (424 nucleotides) under uncultured bacterium. Its description in RNAcentral is "partial 16S ribosomal RNA". It matches the Rfam family "Bacterial small subunit ribosomal RNA", at positions 360 to 776 of the family's 1533-position model. The record is from RNAcentral.
AAUUUUGGACAAUGGGGGAAACCCUGAUCCAGCAAUGCCGCGUGCAGGCUGAAGGCCUUCGGGUUGUAAACUGCUUUGGUACGGAACGAAAAGUCUUGGGCUAAUACCCUGGGCUCAUUACGGUACCGUAAGAAUAAGCACCAGCUAACUACGUCCCAGCAGGCGCGGUAAUACGUAGGGUGCAAGCGUUAAUCGGAAUUACUUGGCGUAAAGCGGGCGCAGGCGGUUUUGUAAGACAGUGGUGAAAUCCCCGGGCUCAACCUGGGAACUGCCAUUGUGACUGCAAGGCUGGAGUGCGGCAGAGGGGGAUGGAAUUCCGCGUGUAGCAGUGAAAUGCGUAGAUAUGCGGAGGAACACCGAUGGCGAAGGCAAUCCCCUGGGCCUGCACUGACGCUCAUGCACGAAAGCGUGGGGAGCAAACAGG